UCACACGGUGAUGCAUCCCGAGCACCCUGCUGAGGAGGGUUUGACGGAGUUUAGUUCACCUAAAGGAGUUCUGCUUCUGAGAGACACCAAAAUGGAAGGGAGGUCAACACUUGGUGCACAAAGGAUAUUCAGGUUUUAAUGAAAUCAUCCAGGAAUUGUUUAUUCAAUUCAACACUUCUUUAUGAUUUUUAAUCAAUUAUUUUCAUCAUGACAUCAAUUAAACUGACUAAAAUAAAUAUUUUCUGCUGGGUCUUAAUGAGUUAAUUUCUCCACCUGCAGUAUUUCUUCCAAAGUCAAGCACCAAGUUUAUUUUUACAGCUGAAUUCCUAAAUAGCAGGUCAGUGAGGGGAGAGGAAGGUUUGCUGCGACUGGGACUUUGUGUUCUGCUUUUCAGGAACGAUUAAUUUCUUUGAGAAAUAUUCUGGUCAUUGAGUGUAGUGGCAGUUUGAGCUUUUGGUGAAUUACCUUCACUAUUUUUGAUUGCAUUUAGAAAAGAAGAAACAAGCUACUAAGAAAAAAUGCUGGCUUUAGAACAGUGGGAAAGGAGCCAUAAUUUUUCCAAGCUGCCUUAAAAGGGCUUAAAUUCUUCUAGUUACUG
This is a long non-coding RNA of Oenanthe melanoleuca, 598 nucleotides long. RefSeq lists it as uncharacterized. The transcript has 3 exons. Lineage: Eukaryota; Metazoa; Chordata; Aves; Passeriformes; Muscicapidae. The record is from RefSeq and is a predicted model, not a curated record.